This 81-nucleotide transfer RNA is filed under the name Tilletia horrida. RNAcentral's name for it is "tRNA-Gln". It matches the Rfam family "tRNA". From Rfam's summary of the family: Transfer RNA (tRNA) molecules are approximately 80 nucleotides in length. Their secondary structure includes four short double-helical elements and three loops (D, anti-codon, and T loops). The record is from RNAcentral. Lineage: Eukaryota; Fungi; Basidiomycota; Exobasidiomycetes; Tilletiales; Tilletiaceae.
GGUUGUAUAGUCUAGUGGUUAUGACACCGGAUUUUGAAUCCCGGGGUUCCGGUGACCAGGGUUCGAAUCCCUGUACGACCU